GCGGCUGUGAUGGAAUUGGUAGACGUGCUAGCUUGAGGGGCUAGUGGGCAAUAGCCCGUGCCGGUUCGAGCCCGGCCAGCCGCA
This 84-nucleotide transfer RNA is filed under the name Pycnococcus provasolii. RNAcentral describes it as "tRNA-Leu". It matches the Rfam family "tRNA". From Rfam's summary of the family: Transfer RNA (tRNA) molecules are approximately 80 nucleotides in length. Their secondary structure includes four short double-helical elements and three loops (D, anti-codon, and T loops). RNAcentral also lists the same sequence under 1 other name. Lineage: Eukaryota; Viridiplantae; Chlorophyta; Pseudoscourfieldiophyceae; Pseudoscourfieldiales; Pycnococcaceae. The record is from RNAcentral.